CGGAGCGAAAUUGAAAUGGGAGUGCCUUGAAAGCGCCCGGUUCGUUUGAAAAUAUCGGUUGCGGAGAAGAUGGAAGAUGCUGGAUUUUGUUAAUUUCGAUUCAUCAUAAGUGUGGCACGAUUGAUGGGAGUUGUUCAUUUUUAAUGUCACAUUGCCGAGGGAAGGCUGCCUGAUGCGAAUAGAAAAGAACAUGGCAUUGACUUCGGGCGACAUCUAUACUAUUCCUCACGAGACUGCCGACCAGCGCCAUCUAGCCAGGAAAACAAGAGAAGAGACUGAGAGCCACGAAUGCGGACUUCUGACCAAGACGACCCUUUAUAACAUUUAAUCCAGCUAAUCAACGAACGCCGAGUUUUCGUAAUACUCUAUGGUUGAUUUAUGUAACUAUGGCCGACAUAAGAUAGCUGCCGUCCAGUCGCGAGGCAGCGCUGCGCCAGUGCUCACGAUCGCGUCGUACCCUGAUGGAUCCGUGUUUCAAUCAUUGCUUCUUUGCGUUGCUUCUGCUGGUAUAUAUUGCGAAUAAUAAUAUAUACUGAGACACGAA
This is a long non-coding RNA of Amphibalanus amphitrite, 544 nucleotides long. RefSeq lists it as uncharacterized. The transcript has 2 exons. Lineage: Eukaryota; Metazoa; Arthropoda; Thecostraca; Balanomorpha; Balanidae. The record is from RefSeq and is a predicted model, not a curated record.